This is a long non-coding RNA of Acanthopagrus latus (yellowfin seabream), 1343 nucleotides long. RefSeq lists it as uncharacterized. NCBI's taxonomy places the organism in Eukaryota, Metazoa, Chordata, Actinopteri, Spariformes, Sparidae. The transcript is spliced from 3 exons. The record is from RefSeq and is a predicted model, not a curated record.
UGCUGGUCGAAGCCGGCACUCUGAAUGUAACAUUAUUUACACAACCUGGAGCGAUUCUGUCGGCGGUAAAUCGCUUGAAGACGUGAUUUUAUCUGAGGAGAUGUAACUUUUUAAAGUUUUCACCUGUACUGCUGGUAGAUAUAAUGAUGCCGAAGUUUUGUUUUGUUUUGUUUUGAAGUUUCGUGGAUAUCAUCAUUGAAUCUGCCCCAGCAGUAGUUUAGACUUAAUUUGUAACGCGAAACAUCAAAUGUCAUCCAAACUUCAGUUUCACAUUUUUUGCCUCCUACGCCCAACAGUUCUGUGGCCGACCACCGUUACAGGAGAACAGGAUUGUGGGUGGGGUGGACGCCAAAGAUGGAUCCUGGCCCUGGUGGAUAUACAGACAGACACUGAUGGUCAUAUCUGUGGAGGCUCCAUCAUCUCAGAGAACUGGGUCCUGUCAGCCCCUCAUUGUUUCCCCAAGUAAGAACAAGGUCUUCACACUGAAAAAUCAUUAGAUGGAUUUUCAGUUGCGCGCCAAUCCACAGGUGUUCUGCUUCUUAUAUGCGAUUAUGGAUGUAAUGUUAAUUUUCUCACUGUGAUGGUCAUGAAUGACUGUAGAGGAAACACUGGGAUUUGAUAUUCAGUAUUUUUCCAGUUUUGGGAAUCAGUGUUUCAUUUGUGGUUUGUAGUAAUAACUACAGAUGUCCAGUAAAUGUAGUGCAGUAAAAGUACAAUAUAUGCAUCGAAAAUGUAGUGGAAGUGUUGAGUAAAAUUAAAACAAGUUGUUACUGAUAAUGAUUGUUGUAUUUGCUAAAUGAUAAUCACACGUAAAGGGAUCUUGAUAAGUGGUUGAAAUGUAUGUAAUUCCACACCAGCUGACUGAAUGUGCACUUAUCAGUUGAAUGUACUGUAUUGUAAACCUUGUGGGUGUGAAAUGAAACCAGACAUAACAGUGAAAUCAUGUGACUAAAUAUGCAACAAUUAAAAAUGCAGUAAAACGUAGUAGUCGAACAUAGUGGGAUACAUCAGAAAAGGUCAGACUCAAGCUACUGGUGUAUUCUGAGGGAAAAACCUUGAAUAUUGUUGAAAGACUUUAGGAAAUGUUGGUGUCAGGUACAGCCUGGAUUCCAGAGGAAAAGGACGGAGGGGUAUGCCAAAGAAAAGUACCAGUGUCAACAAAGUUGCGGUAUAGCUAUUGGAUGAGACCCCGAGGCAAUGGAAGGAGUUGGAUAUUUCCACUCCUAGUUUUUUGGUAUGAAAAAAGACUCCCAAUGCUCAAUGUCAAAUCAUUCCUCUUAAACUUUGUCUGUGUAUAUUGUCUUGGGUUUUGUUGCUGGCAAUAAAACUCCACUGCACUCAGC